Molecule: ribosomal RNA, 470 nt
Filed under: Campylobacter jejuni
Lineage: Bacteria; Pseudomonadati; Campylobacterota; Epsilonproteobacteria; Campylobacterales; Campylobacteraceae
Description: partial 23S ribosomal RNA
Rfam family: Bacterial large subunit ribosomal RNA
Source: RNAcentral
AAAGGUAAGCUACUAAGAGCGAAUGGUGGAUGCCUUGACUGGUAAAGGCGAUGAAGGACGUACUAGACUGCGAUAAGCUACGGGGAGCUGUCAAGAAGCUUUGAUCCGUAGAUUUCCGAAUGGGGCAACCCAAUGUAUAGAGAUAUACAUUACCUAUAUAGGAGCGAACGAGGGGAAUUGAAACAUCUUAGUACCCUCAGGAAAAGAAAUCAAUAGAGAUUGUGUCAGUAGCGGCGAGCGAAAGCGCAAGAGGGCAAACCCAGUGCUUGCACUGGGGGUUGUAGGACUGCAAUGUGCAAGAGCUGAGUUUAGCAGAACAUUCUGGAAAGUAUAGCCAUAGAGGGUGAUAGUCCCGUAUGCGAAAAACAAAGCUUAGCUAGCAGUAUCCUGAGUAGGGCGGGACACGAGGAAUCCUGUCUGAAUCCGGGUCGACCACGAUCCAACCCUAAAUACUAAUACCAGAUCGAUAG